Molecule: transfer RNA, 510 nt
Filed under: Xanthomonas vasicola
Lineage: Bacteria; Pseudomonadati; Pseudomonadota; Gammaproteobacteria; Lysobacterales; Lysobacteraceae
Rfam family: tRNA (bases 114-186)
Source: RNAcentral
GGCUGGAUCACCUCCUUUUGAGCAUGACGUCAUUCGCCCUGUCGGGCGUCCUCACAAAUUACCUGCAUUCAGAGAUUCAUACCGGCACAGGCCGGUAUGCGAAAGUCCCUUUUGGGGCCUUAGCUCAGCUGGGAGAGCACCUGCUUUGCAAGCAGGGGGUCGUCGGUUCGAUCCCGACAGGCUCCACCAUAUUGAGUGAAAAGACUUCGGGUCUGUAGCUCAGGUGGUUAGAGCGCACCCCUGAUAAGGGUGAGGUCGGAGUUCGAGUCUACCAGACCCACCACUCUGAAUGUAGUGCACACUUAAGAAUUUAUAUGGAUCAGCCGUUGAGGCUGAGACAUGUUCUUUUAUAACUUGUGACGUAGCGAAGCGUUUGGAGAUAUCUAUCUAAACGUGUCGUUGAGGCUAAGGCGGGGACUUCGAGUCCCUAAAUAAUUGAGUCGUAUGUCCGUUGGUGGCUUUGUACCCACACAACACGUACAUGUAACUCCGAGGCAACUUGGGGUUAUA